GUCGCCAUGAACGAGAAGGCCAACGUCUCUAAAGAGCUUAAUGCUAAGCACAGAAAGAUCUUGGAAGGUCUCCUUAAAUUGCCUGAGAAUAGAGAAUGUGCUGACUGCAAAGCCAAAGGUCCAAGAUGGGCAAGUGUAAAUUUAGGUAUCUUUAUAUGCAUGCAAUGUUCAGGGAUACACCGAAGUCUGGGGGUGCACAUAUCGAAGGUUCGAUCUGCAGCCCUUGACACAUGGCUUCCAGAGCAGGUUGCAUUUAUUCAAUCAAUGGGAAAUGAGAAGGCAAAUAGUCACUGGGAAGCGGAGCUGCCCCCCAACUAUGAUAGAGUUGGAAUAGAGAAUUUCAUUCGUGCAAAGUAUGA
Molecule: unclassified non-coding RNA, 359 nt
Filed under: Hevea brasiliensis (rubber tree)
Lineage: Eukaryota; Viridiplantae; Streptophyta; Magnoliopsida; Malpighiales; Euphorbiaceae
Source: RNAcentral